This 606-nucleotide long non-coding RNA is filed under the name Trifolium pratense (red clover). RNAcentral describes it as "long non-coding RNA (TPRA_LNC007609)". The record is from RNAcentral. Lineage: Eukaryota; Viridiplantae; Streptophyta; Magnoliopsida; Fabales; Fabaceae.
GAUAAUCUUAUAAGACAUAUGUCCAAAAUUAAAGAAAAAAAUAGAAAUUGAUUUCAUAUUAAAAGCUUUAGACAUGAGAGGUAAUUAACCCAUGGAUAAAAAAUUGAAGCAGUCAAACAUAAAUCGGAACAUACUAGCUAGAAAAUUAAGAGAUAGUGGCACGUACUUGUUCCAUUUAGCAUUCAAUAAUUUGUCAAAGUUUGACCAUAUAAAAGAUAUAGUCUUGGUCAAUUUUGAACAUAUUUUAUAUAUACACUCAAAAACCAUUACGCAAUGUGUACUUAAUUAGUUACUUGUCUUAGACAAUAAACUAACGUGUAAUAUGUCACAUUCCUUCGCGUAAUGACAAGUAAACCAAAAACUUGUUAUAUGACGAAAAGUCAAGCCUUGAUGCUAAGUACUAUAAAAAUGUUUAAGGGGAAGGAUUUAUAAUUUAUAAGCAUAUGCCAUAAUAUUUGAGAGAUGGAACCAUUCGUGAUAUUUAUCGUAAUAGCUGUUUCUGUGUUUGUCUUGGCUGUAAUAUUGAGUUUGUUGUGCCGAGCAAUGGGAGUCCGGCCAGCAUAUGGAAGUGGUGGUGGUGGAGGUUUUGCCCAUCACAAUCACCAC